RNAcentral lists this ribosomal RNA (551 nucleotides) under Agrobacterium sp. RNAcentral describes it as "bacterial SSU rRNA". It matches the Rfam family "Bacterial small subunit ribosomal RNA", at positions 56 to 657 of the family's 1533-position model. Lineage: Bacteria; Pseudomonadati; Pseudomonadota; Alphaproteobacteria; Hyphomicrobiales; Rhizobiaceae. The record is from RNAcentral.
UGCAGUCGACGCCCCGCAAGGGGAGUGGCAGACGGGUGAGUAACGCGUGGGAACAUACCCUUUCCUGCGGAAUAGCUCCGGGAAACUGGAAUUAAUACCGCAUACGCCCUACGGGGGAAAGAUUUAUCGGGGAAGGAUUGGCCCGCGUUGGAUUAGCUAGUUGGUGGGGUAAAGGCCUACCAAGGCGACGAUCCAUAGCUGGUCUGAGAGGAUGAUCACCCACAUUGGGACUGAGACACGGCCCAAACUCCUACGGGAGGCAGCAGUGGGGAAUAUUGGACAAUGGGCGCAAGCCUGAUCCAGCCAUGCCGCGUGAGUGAUGAAGGCCUUAGGGUUGUAAAGCUCUUUCACCGGAGAAGAUAAUGACGGUAUCCGGAGAAGAAGCCCCGGCUAACUUCGUGCCAGCAGCCGCGGUAAUACGAAGGGGGCUAGCGUUGUUCGGAAUUACUGGGCGUAAAGCGCACGUAGGCGGAUAUUUAAGUCAGGGGUGAAAUCCCAGAGCUCAACUCUGGAACUGCCUUUGAUACUGGGUAUCUUGAGUAUGGAAGAGG